This 486-nucleotide ribosomal RNA is filed under the name uncultured bacterium. RNAcentral's name for it is "bacterial LSU rRNA". It matches the Rfam family "Bacterial large subunit ribosomal RNA", at positions 15 to 507 of the family's 2925-position model. The record is from RNAcentral.
GGGCGCACGGGGAAUGCCUGGGCGUCAAGGGCCGAAGAAGGACGUGUAGCGCUGCGAAAAGCGACGGGGAAUCGCGCUAGGGUUGUGAUCCGUCGAUGUCCGAAUGGGGAAACCCGGCUAGGGGAAUGCCUAGUCAGCCGUUGGUGAACACAUAGCCAACGAGCGGGGAACUCGGGGAACUGAAACAUCUAAGUACCCGGAGGAAAAGAAACAAUUCCGUGAGUAGUGGCGAGCGAAAGCGGAGUAGCCCAAACCGUACUGGCGAAAGCUGGUGCGGGGUUGUAGGACGAACAAAUAGGUAGGGCGUGGUAGUAGAACGGCACUGGAAUGGCCGACCAUAGAGGGUGAAAGUCCCGUACAUAAAACUACAAACUACUGGUUCGUAUCCUGAGUACUGCGGGGCACGCUAACCCUGCAGGAAGCUGGGGGGUCCAAUCCUCCAAGGCUAAAUACCCUUGACGACCGAUAGUGAACAAGUACCGUGAG